UACGGGAGGCAGCAGUGGGGAAUAUUGCACAAUGGGCGCAAGCCUGAUGCAGCCAUGCCGCGUGUAUGAAGAAGGCCUUCGGGUUGUAAAGUACUUUCAGCGGGGAGGAAGGCGAUGUGGUUAAUAACCGCGUCGAUUGACGUUACCCGCAGAAGAAGCACCGGCUAACUCCGUGCCAGCAGCCGCGGUAAUACGGAGGGUGCAAGCGUUAAUCGGAAUUACUGGGCGUAAAGCGCACGCAGGCGGUCUGUUAAGUCAGAUGUGAAAUCCCCGGGCUUAACCUGGGAACUGCAUUUUGAAACUGGCAGGCUUGAGUCUCGUAGAGGGGGUGAAAUUCCAGGUGUAGCGGUGAAAUGCGUAGAGAUCUGGAGGAAUACCGGUGGCGAAGGCGGCCCCUGGGACGAAGACUGACGCUCAGGUGCGAAAGCGUGGGGAGCAAACAGGAUUAGGAUACC
This 455-nucleotide ribosomal RNA is filed under the name uncultured bacterium. Its description in RNAcentral is "bacterial SSU rRNA". It matches the Rfam family "Bacterial small subunit ribosomal RNA", at positions 340 to 786 of the family's 1533-position model. The record is from RNAcentral.